Molecule: long non-coding RNA, 2307 nt
Organism: Carassius gibelio (silver crucian carp)
Lineage: Eukaryota; Metazoa; Chordata; Actinopteri; Cypriniformes; Cyprinidae
Exons: 10
Source: RefSeq, a predicted model, not a curated record
UAAGAACACACAAAUAGAGUCAUUAAUACAGAAACAAAAAAACAUAUAAAAGAACAGAGCCAGGGGGAGUUUCAAAUAAAUACAUUAAAGAUAGAGCAUAACUGAAUGGUUUUAGCAGCCUUCUUAUUUUUUGAAUCAUGGAUGGAAUUGAUGUACUGUUCGGUCUCCUUACCAAAAGCAAUAAAAGAAGGUUUAGAAUUACUAAAUUUCGCUUUGUGAAUAUGAUAUUUCCCUAAAAUGAUCAAUAGAUUAACUAGGUAUAUUUCUUUCUGUUUUUUGUUAUCAUGGAAGCCAAACAGUACAUUUUUCCAAAACAAAGAAAAAUCUGCAAUAAGAUUAGGUGUAGACCAUGAUGUUCCACCACACCGGCAUAUCACAUGGUCAAAUGCGGAAGUGGUGGUUAUGUUAUAGCCUCGCGUAUGGUUUGGUUGUCGUUGUAAUGGAUCACGAUUACUCUUUGGCGAGUGCAGUAAAAACCAGUUAAGUGCCAGUAAAACGUAAGCGUCCAUAUUCGGAAACUAGGAUUAAUAUCGGCCAGGCGUUUACGAGAUGGAGAGAGCUGCGCGAAAAUCUAGUACUCGACAGAGACUCUGCUCUCGCGAGUGUAUUGAUAGACAGUUUCCAAAAAGGUGGCCCAUCAACGUCAACUCCGAGUAAAAGACCUGUAAUACCUCUUCAGACACUGUCUACCAUAGCUUCUUCAGAGAGCAUUGUUUUCUGGAGUCUGGAAUAGAACAACUUUCCAAGGCAGAAAGUGAUGAGCAGUUACAUGAAAGGAUUGAAUGGAGAAAUACUGAUGAUGCCACAAGGGACACAGACAGUGAAGACAGCACUUCAGAUGAUGAUUAUGUACCCUCCAUCUGUCUCAGAACUGGAAGAGUCAAAACGGAAUUUGUGAAGAUUCAGGAGCUUCCAGUUCUUGGCCUUGAAGAGACCGUUCAUAUUGCAACGCAAAAUGAAGUAGUACCAGUACGAGAAGAUCAUGUAUUCAUGUCUUCUGGCAUCCAACAUGUCAUGAGUGAAGAGGACAUCAUUGGACAAAAGCCAUCAGUCGUCUAUGAGUCAAUGCUGAAACACCUGGUCAUAUUUUUGCAGCUGCCGAUGCAGAUGGACGAAUGGACAGUCCUGGCUACUGUGCCCAGUAUUGCUCCUACACUGCCAUGGAGAAUGAUUCAAAAGAAAUCAUCUCAGUUGUUACCAUCGAUAAGAGGCAGACCGCACGCAAUCCUGUGAUCAUGGAGAAAGAGGCUUUUGUCACGACCGUGGACCAGCUUCUUGGUGAAGUUAAGAUUGCAGAAAUUUGCACUGAUGCUCACACACAAAAUUUCCUCCGUUAUGAAUAAAACAACUGGUCGCUAUAAAGAGAAAGGAAUUGUCCACUCAUGGGACAUAUGGCAUGGGGCAAAGAAUUUAGCCAAGAUGAUCUCUGCGCUAAUUUGUCAUUCUUGAGUCUCUUUGUUGCUGGUAUACAUUCUGAUUCUGAUUCUGAUGCUAAAAUGUCCUAAACCACAUAUGUUAUUUGCAAUCUAAGGCAGCACAGCAAACUGGACAAAAGAUCCUUCUCCACUGGUUAAAAGACAUUGUAAAUCACUUUUGGUUCUGCUGCAAGACGGCAGACACGGAGCAACAGUUCAUUAUCGACCUGUCAUCUUGAGGCGUUCCACAACCACUUGCUUAUGUGGUUCAGCUCUUCACCGAUGGUGUACGAGGCAAGAACUCUCCUGGCAGCCCUGGAUUACAACCACCAUAAAGAUAGACCACCACUGCUAAACAAAAAAGGGGAAAAGAUCUAUCGUCGAGUGUUUAAAAAAAAAAUAGGAAGAUGGACGGUAUAUGCUAUGAAGGUGAACAAAGACUACAGCUACAUACCAGAUCUACAGGCAGCAAUUCUGCAUGAAAGACUACAGGCUGACAAGGGGAUGCCAAAGCGUCGGACUCUAAGGCCAGAGGAUCCACGGAGACUGGGCCUCAUUCCAAAAGUCCCACCUCCACCAAUUGACACUAUUCUUGAGUCCCUUGUGAAUAGAGGGAUAGGUGCCAUUCCUACACUAUGUGAGACAGAUGAGCCCUGGAUUACAGCCUCUCAUCCACACCACCAGAGCUCUGUUUUGGACAGUCUAAACCAAAAUAAGUUAUUUGUUUAUAAAGUUUUGGAAUCUGACAUUUAAUUUUCCUUGGUCGUAUAUAAUUUGAGUGUGCAACCUCACUAUAUUGCUCUUAACCAUGUAUAUAUUUUGGACGACAGGUAAUAUUUGAUAUAGAAAUAUUUUGUAUACAUCAUGCAAACAAAUAAAUAUUGCAAAACCA